Homo sapiens (human) is the source of this 401-nucleotide long non-coding RNA. Lineage: Eukaryota; Metazoa; Chordata; Mammalia; Primates; Hominidae. The record is from Ensembl.
UAAAAGCCAUCUGAUAUUUUACUGCAAGCAUGUGGCAGUGAAGACGACAAUGACUGCUAGUAUGGUUUGUGCCACUGCCUUGAUUUCCGCUCAGGCACCAGCAGUCUUACCCACCAUUGCUUUGGUGCAGUUGGUGGAGAUAUCAAUGGAUCAAAAGCGCAAGUAAUAUGACUCGGCUCCCUAUGCCCAGUAAAUAUAAAUUUUCAGAACUGUGAUCACAGCCCUGGCUAAAUAGUGCCCCUGGUCAAACCUUCGUAGGCAAAAUGUUUUCUCCAGCUUUCUGCUAGUUCUUAGAAGCCAGUGUGAAGGAAAAGGGAUGUCAUGAAGCAUCACUCUCCAAGCUGAUCAUCUAUUCCAUUGCCUUGAGAAUUAUGUAGAAUAAAAUCACUGUCUCCCUAAAU